UCAGACACCCGGAAUCAUCG
RNAcentral lists this unclassified non-coding RNA (20 nucleotides) under Mus musculus (house mouse). RNAcentral's name for it is "oocyte_clustered_small_RNA13905". Lineage: Eukaryota; Metazoa; Chordata; Mammalia; Rodentia; Muridae. The record is from RNAcentral.